CGCUUCAUGGGAUCAUUCUAUGGUGAAAACGCUACAUCAUCAUUCCCGGCACGGAGCCAUCUCCUCAGAGCUCAAGACCGCUCCCCAUAGAUCCCUAGCAGUGACCUUCUCCUCAUAGCUCGAGACCGUCAUCUCCUGCACAACCUGCUCCAGGACCGUCGCUUCCUGCUAUAUCAAGGUCUCCAUCUCCACCACAUCCUGGUGGUGGGAGCGACGACGACAAUAACA
RNAcentral lists this long non-coding RNA (228 nucleotides) under Setaria viridis. RNAcentral's name for it is "long non-coding RNA (SVIR_LNC006835)". Lineage: Eukaryota; Viridiplantae; Streptophyta; Magnoliopsida; Poales; Poaceae. The record is from RNAcentral.